GCUGUGAUGUCAGCCACAGGCCGCAGGCGGUGGCCGGCCCAGUGUGAACGACAGCCAUCCCCCGGGCCUGGCCUUGCCCACAAGAUUCCCAGAUUUCACAACCGGGGCUGGCGCUGAAUCAUGUACACUUCCUGAUCUGGAGGAUGGGCAUAAUCACACGACUGACCUCCUGGGGCCCGUGCGAGGAUUAAAUGAGAUGAUCCAGUGCUGAGCACAGUCAGUGCCAGACAAGCGGGACUGUUGCUGUUGUGGUGUCAGAGUUCCCCAGGACACGGUUUGAAAGACUCCGGAGAAAUCAUUCAGUCCUUGGGGGAGCCCUCCCCGCUCCCUGCCCCCUAGAACACCCACCCCUUUCCUGGUGACCCAGAUGAUUCUUAUUUUUAAAAACGUCUUUAUUACAUCAGCAAGUAUCUGUUGAGCACCGCUGUGUUCUACUGGGUCCUGGAAAUACAGCAGUGAAUAAAAAAGAAAAAAGAAAAAGAA
Molecule: non-coding RNA, 483 nt
Organism: Odocoileus virginianus texanus
Lineage: Eukaryota; Metazoa; Chordata; Mammalia; Artiodactyla; Cervidae
Source: RefSeq, a predicted model, not a curated record